UGCUCCAACGUUAUAAGACAUUAGGGGUU
This 29-nucleotide non-coding RNA is filed under the name Rattus norvegicus (Norway rat). Lineage: Eukaryota; Metazoa; Chordata; Mammalia; Rodentia; Muridae. The record is from RNAcentral.